Molecule: non-coding RNA, 418 nt
Organism: Parasteatoda tepidariorum (common house spider)
Lineage: Eukaryota; Metazoa; Arthropoda; Arachnida; Araneae; Theridiidae
Source: RefSeq, a predicted model, not a curated record
UCAUCAAUUCACACUAUGUAAUGAAAUGUUUUGAUUUUGAUUUGGUUGUAAUCGUCACACUGGAGCUACACUAAUCAUUACUGUAAUGAAAUGCGUCUUAGUGUCAGAAUAAAAUUUAAAAUAAAAGAAAGAAAAAAGGUUGGAAAGCAAUCGUAAAUAGCAAAAAUCCAUAAUGUGAAAGAAAACGUUGGGUAUCGCAGUAACUGAUGAACGGAUGUUGAAAGGGCUUUUGUUCAAUUUUUUUUGUACGUAUUCUGUGCAAGAUUUUCAUGCCUUUCAAAAAAUUUGAUCUGUUUUAUGUUUGCUUAAGUAAUUUCAUAUAUUAUUUAGAGAAUUAUUUCUUAUUCUUUGAUUUAGAAUAACGAAUGUUUUUUAGAAAAAUAAAAGCAAUUUCACAGAGUAUAUUCCUCUGACCUUA